This 1346-nucleotide ribosomal RNA is filed under the name uncultured bacterium. Its description in RNAcentral is "partial 16S ribosomal RNA". It matches the Rfam family "Bacterial small subunit ribosomal RNA", at positions 28 to 1381 of the family's 1533-position model. The record is from RNAcentral.
GACGAACGCUGGCGGCGUGCUUAACACAUGCAAGUCGAACGGAAAGGCCCUGCUUUUGUGGGGUGCUCGAGUGGCGAACGGGUGAGUAACACGUGAGUAACCUGCCCUUGACUUUGGGAUAACUUCAGGAAACUGGGGCUAAUACCGGAUAGGAGCUCCUGCUGCUUGGUGGGGGUUGGAAAGUUUCGGCGGUUGGGGAUGGACUCGCGGCUUAUCAGCUUGUUGGUGGGGUAGUGGCUUACCAAGGCUUUGACGGGUAGCCGGCCUGAGAGGGUGACCGGCCACAUUGGGACUGAGAUACGGCCCAGACUCCUACGGGAGGCAGCAGUGGGGAAUAUUGCACAAUGGGCGGAAGCCUGAUGCAGCAACGCCGCGUGCGGGAUGACGGCCUUCGGGUUGUAAACCGCUUUCGCCUGUGACGAAGCGUGAGUGACGGUAAUGGGUAAAGAAGCACCGGCUAACUACGUGCCAGCAGCCGCGGUGGUACGUAGGGUGCGAGCGUUGUCCGGAUUUAUUGGGCGUAAAGGGCUCGUAGGUGGUUGAUCGCGUCGGAAGUGUAAUCUUGGGGCUUAACCCUGAGCGUGCUUUCGAUACGGGUUGACUUGAGGAAGGUAGGGGAGAAUGGAAUUCCUGGUGGAGCGGUGGAAUGCGCAGAUAUCAGGAGGAACACCAGUGGCGAAGGCGGUUCUCUGGGCCUUUCCUGACGCUGAGGAGCGAAAGCGUGGGGAGCGAACAGGCUUAGAUACCCUGGUAGUCCACGCUGUAAACGGUGGGUACUAGGUGUGGGGUCCAUUCCACGGGUUCCGUGCCGUAGCUAACGCUUUAAGUACCCCGCCUGGGGAGUACGGCCGCAAGGCUAAAACUCAAAGGAAUUGACGGGGCCCCGCACAAGCGGCGGAGCAUGCGGAUUAAUUCGAUGCAACGCGUAGAACCUUACCUGGGUUUGACAUGGAUCGGGAGUGCUCAGAGAUGGGUGUGCCUCUUUUGGGGUCGGUUCACAGGUGGUGCAUGGCUGUCGUCAGCUCGUGUCGUGAGAUGUUGGGUUAAGUCCCGCAACGAGCGCAACCCUUGUUCACUGUUGCCAGCACGUUAUGGUGGGGACUCAGUGGAGACCGCCGGGGUCAACUCGGAGGAAGGUGGGGAUGACGUCAAGUCAUCAUGCCCCUUAUGUCCAGGGCUUCACGCAUGCUACAAUGGCUGGUACAGAGAGUGGCGAGCCUGUGAGGGUGAGCGAAUCUCGGAAAGCCGGUCUCAGUUCGGAUUGGGGUCUGCAACUCGACCUCAUGAAGUCGGAGUCGCUAGUAAUCGCAGAUCAGCAACGCUGCGGUGAAUACGUUCCCGGGGCU